Molecule: unclassified non-coding RNA, 148 nt
Organism: Callithrix jacchus (white-tufted-ear marmoset)
Lineage: Eukaryota; Metazoa; Chordata; Mammalia; Primates; Cebidae
Rfam family: Metazoan signal recognition particle RNA
About the family: The signal recognition particle (SRP) is a universally conserved ribonucleoprotein. It is involved in the co-translational targeting of proteins to membranes.
Source: Ensembl
GCCAGGCAUGGUGGUGCGUGACUGUAGUCCCAGCUACUCAGGAGGCUGAGAUGGGAGGAUCGCUUGAGCCCAGGAGAUCAAGGCUACAGUGAGCUGAGAUUGCACCACUGCACUCCAGCCUGGGCAACAGAGCAAGACCCCAUCUCUG